Long non-coding RNA from Leptopilina heterotoma, 502 nucleotides. RefSeq lists it as uncharacterized. The transcript has 2 exons. The record is from RefSeq and is a predicted model, not a curated record. Lineage: Eukaryota; Metazoa; Arthropoda; Insecta; Hymenoptera; Figitidae.
CAUGCCACGUGUGUGACCUCUAAGUAACCUUAGACCAGACCUGUUACCAAGCAAACUUGACAAACACCCAUCGAUGAGCAAUCUUUUUACAACCCUAUUACGUCGAUACACGGAUGUGAUCUGGGUAUAUAAGGCCCUAAAUUUGGAUCCAAAAGUCAGUAUCUAGUCAGCAUCCAGUCAGUAUCUAAUUUAAAUCAAACCGAUCGACAUCAUCUCUGUACCAGUAGUCAGUGCGAAUCUUUACUCGUUACCUACGAUUAUCCCAGUCUAAGUAAUACCCAUCUCGUGUGAGACCAAGCCGUUGUCAAAUCUCCAAGCAGUAAAAAUUGGAAAGGCGGUGCAUCUGAACUGACUGUGGACGCACGAGCGGAGAACGGGUUUUCAGCUUCACAAAGAAGCAAUAAAGGUGUUUAUUGGAACUGGUCUUCUCUCGGCAACAUACAAAUAAAGAACUUCAAGAAAUCAUUAUAUACUAUUUUAUAAUAAAUUUCAUUUUAACUAA